AGGUUUAAGUUAACCGUUAAACCCAGAGCCUUCAAAGCUCUAAAUAGAGUGCUUUACCCUAGCCUCCG
Molecule: transfer RNA, 68 nt
Filed under: Pachydactylus etultra (Sossus gecko)
Lineage: Eukaryota; Metazoa; Chordata; Lepidosauria; Squamata; Gekkonidae
Description: tRNA-Trp
Source: RNAcentral